Helianthus annuus (common sunflower) is the source of this 1208-nucleotide long non-coding RNA. RefSeq lists it as uncharacterized. The record is from RefSeq and is a predicted model, not a curated record. The transcript is spliced from 7 exons. Lineage: Eukaryota; Viridiplantae; Streptophyta; Magnoliopsida; Asterales; Asteraceae.
ACACACGGGUACACAAUUAGGGUUUCUCAUUCUCAUAGCAUUUUAUCCGCCCCCAUCGAGCUGCUUUCUCUCUAGGCGAUUCAAAAGGAGAUCUAUGGUUUCUCUUGGCGAUGCAAGAUCUGGCUUUCUCAAUGACACCAGAUCAGCGUAUCUCUCUCUAUAUGAAACCCAAUCGACUGAGUUUGAAGGUGGUGAAGGGUUUGGAUCUGCCAAUCAGUGACGUAUGAGCAAGGGGGUGUUUGGAAUGCCAAUUGGUGAUGUAUGAGCAAGAUUUCACAAGAUCUAAAGAUGGCGUGGUGUGUAGUGUUAAAUCCGACGACUACGGUUCCGGUGGUAUAAUUCUCAAGCCGAUCGGUGGCAAUAGACACGAGUUCCGGUUUUAGAUGGUGGUUGAGGUAGGUUCCGACAAACUGAGUUGCAGAUCUAGGUUUCACCAGUUGGCGUAGGCGAUACUACAUCAUCAAAAUGGAUGGUUUCUGAAUGGAGCUCUUGUCUUUUUGCUCUCAGUUUGGAUAACAUCAAUAAUUCGGCCAUUUUUUCUUCCACCUCUUGUCUUUUUUUUUUGAAUUGAGAGGGUUUAUCAGUUUUAAGUCAUUUACAACAACAGUAUGGCUUCAGUUACUUUGAAAAAGAACUACCACUGUGUUAAGUCUUUGCAACAGUUUUACUCAGGCGGACCGUACGCGGUUUCUUCAGAUGGAUCAUUCAUUGCUUGUCAUAGCUGUUAAAUCCACCAUUGAAGGGGAUUCGGAGUCUUCAAAUGCUUCCAUUAAAUCCACCAUUGAAGGGGAUUCGGAGUCUGUUACAGCUAUUGCUCUUAGCCAUGAUGACAAAUUCCUCUUUAGCGCCAGUCACAGCCGUCAAAUUAGUAUGUGGGAUCUUUCUUCACUUAAAGGCUUGCAUUCUUGGAAGGGUGGUCAUCAGGGUCCAAUAAUGGCGAUGAUACGUCACGCUUACGGUGAAAGUGAAUUGCAAGGGCAUUUCUGUACACAUUCCUUUAAGGGUCAUAAAGGGGUUGUGACAAGUGUUAUUUUUCAUCCUGACCCAACUUGUUGGCUGCUUUAUUCUGGAUCUGAUGACACAACUGUACGCGUUUGGGAUGUGUUGCAACCUUAGAAAGACAUCGUUCAUAUGUGACAACCGUUGCAAUAACAGAAGAUGGGGGAACCUUGUUGAGUGGUGGCAGAGAUCAGGUUGUAAACAUGUGG